This 556-nucleotide long non-coding RNA is filed under the name Phoenix dactylifera (date palm). RNAcentral's name for it is "long non-coding RNA (PDAC_LNC003284)". The record is from RNAcentral. Lineage: Eukaryota; Viridiplantae; Streptophyta; Magnoliopsida; Arecales; Arecaceae.
ACCCUAGGAGAGCCGUCUAGGAUAGAUGAAAGUACAUAUGGAGCAAGGGCAGCCUUCAAAAGAUUUUCAAAGCAAAGAUUGGAUCCGGUAGUUCUUUCACAAGUCAAGCUAAAGCUUCUACAACUUACACGCAUCGCUAACCCACAUCAGCUGCUAAUAUUGACCUACUUUGAAGCCCUCCAAUAAGCUAUCAGUAAAGCGAAGGCGUAUAAUGUGACGCGUCAAGAUGAACAAUUUUUCGUUACUCAAAAGAACAGAGAAAAAAUCAGAGUUGUUGAUUCACUAUUCUUUUCAUUGGUUAAAGUUUGAGAGGACCGGUUGGAUGACUCAAGCUUUUAAAUGAUAUUUUUUGUGAUGAGAUGAGCAUCCACCGGUCACUUUGAGAUUUGUGCUGAGAUAAGGUUUGGUGUGCUUUGAGAGCCAUGGGGCGGAUGGUCAAUCGUUGGAUUGGCACAUAGGAAGGUGAAUCCUUCUUUCGUGCGAAAGAAAAACCGCCGGCCCAAUGAGACCAAAGGCGCCAGCCGAGACAUGGGCCCAGCCGAGGACGACUCGGAAU